UAAGGAAUAUUGCUCAAUGGGAGAAAUCCUGAAGCAGCAACGCCACGUGGAGGAUGAAGGGUCUAUGACUUGUAAACUCCUGUAAAGAAGGAAAAAAUUCCCAUUUGAUGGGAGAUGAUGGUACUUCUGGAGUAAGCCCCGGCUAACUACGUGCCAGCAGCCGCGGUAAUACGUAGGGGGCAAGCGUUGUCCGGAUUUACUGGGUGUAAAGGGUGCUCAGGCGGAUUUGUAAGUCAGAGGUGAAAUCUUACAGCUUAACUGUGAAACUGCCUUUGAUACUGCAAGCCUAGAGUAUGGAAGAGAGUGAUGGAAUAUCUGGUGUAGCAGUGAAAUGCGUAGAUAUCAGAUAGAACACCGAUGGCGAAGGCAGUCACUUGGUCCAUUACUGACGCUAAAGCACGAAAGCGUGGGUAGCAAACA
Molecule: ribosomal RNA, 420 nt
Filed under: uncultured bacterium
Lineage: Bacteria
Description: bacterial SSU rRNA
Rfam family: Bacterial small subunit ribosomal RNA
Source: RNAcentral